Long non-coding RNA from Arachis duranensis, 340 nucleotides. RefSeq lists it as uncharacterized. The record is from RefSeq and is a predicted model, not a curated record. The transcript has 3 exons. NCBI's taxonomy places the organism in Eukaryota, Viridiplantae, Streptophyta, Magnoliopsida, Fabales, Fabaceae.
GGGGAAAGUGAGCUCAAAACCUAACUCCCACUUCCAUCCACCAUAACUUCUUCAUCCGAGCUCCGAUCGCCGCACCGUUUGCGGCCGCGUGACCGCAGUGACGAGCUCUACAAAGCUCAGUACCUUUCAAGGAUCAAAUUGAGUUGAGGAAUGGGUGGGCUUUGGUUCGUUUGAGGCACAUACAAUGUGUGAAUUAAGAAGAUAUAUAUAUGCAUUGGAGUUGAAUUAUGGACAUUUGGAAGCUUGGUGGUGAUUGGGGCUAAGAUUGUGAGUGGGUUCUCAAAGCUUAAGGGGCUGUAUUGUAGCUUGUGUGGCUGCCUUGGACUAAAUAAAGUGAUCG